AGUAUAAUUAUUUUCGAACUCUUCCACUCACUGAGCUAUAAAUCCAUAUUUUUUCAUGAUUUUUCUUAUAGGUAGUAUUGGUCUCUAAUACUUUGAGAAGCCUGGUGUUUUAGAAUUAGAGCCACGCGACAUAUUGAGUGAUACAAUUCAUUUUGGUAAAACAUGAAGUAAUCGUUUCGGACCCAUUGUAUUAUAUUUUUCAUAAAUAUUUGAUUUCGGCGCAUAUUUUGUAGUAAGUCAUAGCCAGCCUUGGUGAUGGAUCUGACACAAGUCAGCACCUAUUAUCGGUGCACGUCACGUUCCUAAUCUAUUAGGGUGAUUCGGGACGGGGCGUGUUACCUUAUGACUAUCAAUUAAGCAAUUUUUAUCAAUUUAGAAGGAGAUUGACAUAGUAGUAAAAUUUCAAUUUAAAAUUGAAGUAAUCCAAUUGAAACUAAAUUGCGGUAAGUGAUCAUACUAAGCCAAAUUAAGUUUAAUGACCCAAUUGUGAUUUCACUAAAAGUGACCACAAGUGAAAUUUGAGAAAUGAUAUUCAUAAUCGUUAACUACAUUAGUCGCCCUACAUUCCUAUAUGACAGUUUGUGAUUUCAUAUAUUAAUGUGGGAGUUUUUUCUUGUCUCGUAUAUCAAAUCACUAACCACCACAUAUAAGCGACGUAGGAUGACUGCAACAAUGAGUGACUGCAAAUAGCAUUACCCUCAUUCAGUAGAAAAACUUAUAUAUCUACAAGAAUUAAAGAAAAUUGUUAUCCUCUCUUGCUUGGCUCCUUCCAUCACCAAUAAUAAACCUCUAAAGGGUAUAGUACUUUUCCACAUCAUUGUGCUUGUAUUUCUCCUUUUCUAUUUUUCUCAGGCUCACAUUUCUGCUUUUGUCAAUUUCAUUUCACUACUAAAAACACAUGGUUUUAGGCACGGAUUUUUUGUUCCCGAAAUCUCGAUAUUCAUUUCUAUUACUCUUUAUCAACGGAAUAUUUGCAACCGCAAAUCCAUUGCUAAUUUGAGGGUCGCUGAUAGUUAUCAACGGAUCCUAUCGUAGGUAAAAAGUAAACAUUUUACCAAAAAAAAUUUCAUUGAUAAAGUGUGAAUUUUUUACCAACAAAAUUUUCAUUGGUAAAAAUUUUAAUCAAUACCAACCUACUUUUCGUUGAUAAAUGUCUACCCUUACAAUUAGUAAAAAUCAAUAUUGUAAUUAGCCGUAUAGGUGUGAGGCAUGGAAAAAAAAAUUUAUCUAUUUUUUAUUAUUGUUAUUAUUAUUUAUUUAAUAAUUCUAAUUUUUUAACUUUUAGCUAACCAAAUUGGAAGGCCAAAAUAUUGUUUAACCACUUAUUGGACCACAAAUUAAUUUAUAGAGGGCAACUCCGAAGAUUUUGUUGUAAACUUUCGAUGUGGGAUAAGUGAAUUACUUUUACCAACGGAUAAUCCAUUUCUAAUUACCAACGAAAUAUCAGUAGGUGAAAUAUCCAAAUGUUAAAUGAUUACAUGAGGCACAAAAUAUCCAUUAAUAAAGAGAUAUCAUCUUUGAAAAUCCGUUGAUGAUUAUCGUAAUUCAAAGUGAAUUACUUUACCAACGGAUAAUCCGUUUCUAAUUAUCAACGGAUUGCAUCUGUUGAUAAUAUUCGAUACGUCACCUACGAAUAUUCCGUAGGUGAAAUAUCCAAAUGUUAAACGGUUACAUGAGGCAUAGAAUAUUCAUUGGUAAAAAGAUAUCAUCGUUACCAAUGGAAAAUCCGUUGUUGAUUAUCGCAAGUGAAAGUAAAUAACUUUUAUCAACGGAUAAUCUAUUUCUAAUUAUCAACGAAUUGCAUUCGUUGGUAAUUUUUCAUAGGUAAAAAGCUGCUUUUUAGUAGUGUUUCUUUUAUGGGUAUUUUUCUUACGAGAAAUCUGCACCGGCAUUCUCGUAUGGAUAUGAGAUUUCAAUAAUGCAUUUGAGGUAGUAAAUUUUGAUUAAUUUCAUUGUUUCUUUUUGCAUCUUUGGUGAAAUUUUUAAGUAAGAUUGCAAUUUUUUUGCUUCAUGAGGCUGAAAAAUGUGGAAUUUUAUUCAUGUUAUUGACUAGCAAUUCAAUGGUCUUUUGUCAAAAUUUAUUCUUUUUCAAGAAGAAAAGUAGUUCACGAAAUUCAUUUUCCUAUCAUAUUUUGUCUAGUUCCGUGGUUCUUUUGAGUACUGGGAGAAGAAAAUCUUCUCGACAGAUUCCAAAUGCCAUGAAAAGACAUUAAAAGUGGAUAAGUUGGUGGCAGAGAUUUUUUCUUGAGGAUGAUGAGAACUAGCUUGCUUUGAAGGAUAAGGAUAUGUUUGAGGGUGUGGAAUCGGAGGAGGGCUCCAGUGGUGAUGAAUUCUCUGAGAACAAAAAGUUUGAGGAGUGGAAAAGCCAGUUGAGGCGAUCAUAGAGUUAAGGGAAGCACAAGAGAAUGCAAAGAAUAAUGAGAAUAGAAGGUGGGAGGACUGGCUUGUGAAUGGAACUAAUGGUGCAUCAUGGGUUCAAGAAUUCAAUGGCACAGUUGGAGAACCUUUAAAUGAUGUGGGAGAAGAUUUUAGUGAGCUAAUUUCUGGUAGAGGAUUGAUUAAGUCAGUAAGGGAGUUGUUUCAAUGCAGAGAAGAUGACGACAUUCCGUAUGAAGAACAUAUCUUCCGUUAUGCUUCAUUCAAUUCGGCAAGUGACUUCAUGACAAUUUUUUAAAUAUCUAAUUUGCUUUCACGCAUUAAAUUAAAUUCUUAUUUAUGUUAUAAUUUAUCAUUAUCAAUCUCAAUCUUUGAUUCCUUGAUCAUGAAUUAUUAUAGCACGAUAAUUGACUGAUAUCGAAUCAAUUGCUAAACUCAAGUUUGUAAGACCAUCAACUGGAC
Molecule: long non-coding RNA, 2838 nt
Filed under: Olea europaea subsp. europaea
Lineage: Eukaryota; Viridiplantae; Streptophyta; Magnoliopsida; Lamiales; Oleaceae
Source: RNAcentral